RNAcentral lists this ribosomal RNA (433 nucleotides) under uncultured bacterium. Its description in RNAcentral is "partial 16S ribosomal RNA". It matches the Rfam family "Bacterial small subunit ribosomal RNA", at positions 29 to 507 of the family's 1533-position model. The record is from RNAcentral.
AACGAACGCUGGCGGCAGGCCUAACACAUGCAAGUCGAGCGAGACCUUCGGGUCUAGCGGCGGACGGGUGAGUAACGCGUGGGAACGUGCCCUUUUCUACGGAAUAGCCUCGGGAAACUGAGCGUAAUACCGUAUACGCCCUUUGGGGGAAAGAUUUAUCGGAGAAGGAUCGGCCCGCGUUGGAUUAGGUAGUUGGUGGGGUAAUGGCCUACCAAGCCUACGAUCCAUAGCUGGUUUGAGAGGAUGAUCAGCCACACUGGGACUGAGACACGGCCCAGACUCCUACGGGAGGCAGCGGUGGGGAAUCUUAGACAAGGGGGGCAACCCUGAUCUAGCCAUGCCGCGUGAGUGAUGAAGGCCUUAGGGUUGUAAAGCUCUUUCAGCUGGGAAGAUAAUGACGGUACCAGCAGAAGAAGCCCCGGCUAACUCCGCG